AUUUCUCCGCGAUACCUUAUUCGGAAAGUAGAGCUGAGGGAACAGUCAGAGUUAGGGAGCCAGCGGUAUAUGUGGUGAGCAUGCCCCAAAAUCCCUGAACGGAUGGAGGGGAAGCCUAAGCAUAUACCAAGGCACCCACUUAGGAAUGAGCCUCAGAUGCUCACUAAUACCGAGAGGUAUCGCGGGGAUAUU
This 192-nucleotide non-coding RNA is filed under the name Nitrospirota bacterium. Its description in RNAcentral is "Nitrospirae bacterium 6S RNA". It matches the Rfam family "6S / SsrS RNA". Rfam says of the family: E. coli 6S RNA was the first non coding RNA to be sequenced, but its function was unknown until recently. It consists of 184 nucleotides that fold into an extended hairpin structure with a large single-stranded internal bulge. Lineage: Bacteria; Pseudomonadati; Nitrospirota. The record is from RNAcentral.